RNAcentral lists this ribosomal RNA (253 nucleotides) under uncultured bacterium. RNAcentral describes it as "partial 16S ribosomal RNA". It matches the Rfam family "Bacterial small subunit ribosomal RNA", at positions 524 to 776 of the family's 1533-position model. The record is from RNAcentral.
UACGAAGGGUGCAAGCGUUACUCGGAAUUACUGGGCGUAAAGCGUGCGUAGGCGGUUCGUUAAGUCUGAUGUGAAAGCCCUGGGCUCAACCUGGGAAUGGCAUUGGAAACUGGCGACCUAGAGUGCGGUAGAGGGCAGUGGAAUUCCCGGUGUAGCAGUGAAAUGCGUAGAGAUCGGGAGGAACAUCUGUGGCGAAGGCGACUGCCUGGACCAGCACUGACACUGAGGCACGAAAGCGUGGGGAGCAAACAGG